ACAUACGACCAUACCCACUGGAGAACUCGGGAUCCCGUCCGCUCUCCCAUCGAUAAACCAGUGAGGGCCGGAUCAGUAGUUGGGUCGGUGACGACCAGCGAAUACCUGGUGUUGUAUGUU
This 120-nucleotide ribosomal RNA is filed under the name Colletotrichum orchidophilum. Lineage: Eukaryota; Fungi; Ascomycota; Sordariomycetes; Glomerellales; Glomerellaceae. The record is from RNAcentral.